UUUAAUAGCCAUCACAGCACUGAUUCUCUACUCAACUUGUCGCCUCCUAGGGUUCUCAACUUCUGCUUAAUUUAGUUUUCUUCCUUCUGUUGUUGUAUGUAUGAUUGUUUACAGAUCAAGUUUUUCUGAUUUCGAUGCAACAAAAGAGAAAGAGGAGAUCUUUGCAUCUGUUUACCCUCUCCUGUUUAGGCAAAUCUCAAUGCUAUAGGGGAUAAAACUGAUGCAGAUACUUAAAGAAAUAUGGCAAGUGAUGAGGAUUUUUGAUCGUAUACUGAUGAACCCUGUAGACUUACAACUCCGCUUAUUAUCUGAUGCCAUUUUUUUCCCACUUUUUUGUAAAAUUUUUACCUUGAUUUUCGUCUUGGAAGAAAAGUCUUCAUCUCUGUAAGAGUGGAAGGCGAAUGAUGUGAAUAAAAAAAUCACUUAUACUACACACUGAUUUCAGUGUGAAGACAAUAAUUCUCUCAAAUAAUCUGAUGCCUUCUUUAUCUUAAUCUUUAUCUCAAAUUAUCUUGAAUUUAAUUUAUUGUUGGUCAAUGAUGAGAAUCAAGCAGACGGGCGGUCUGACACUGAUGCCGUGUUGAAUGUCUGCAAUUUCCCACUUGUGGAAUAUCUCUGAGUCUGAAUGUUUACAACAAAUAGUAGUUUUCGAGUUAUUUAUUCUUAUUGUUUUGUGCUAUGAUGAAGUUGCUUAUAUAUGUCUGGACAUAUGAAACCUCAUUUAAUGAUAUGUUAUGCAUCUUCUGAGCAGAAUUUUAUGUGUAUUUUCCUCUUUUCAACUUUUGUUUUGUGCAAUAUUAGCUAAGAGGACCUGACACUGGGCUUGUUGCCUGUUUACUGAACGCUUUGUAUGUGGGGAUGAGUCAAAAGGGCUUAGAUUAGUAACUUUUCUUGUUUUCUUUGGAUUUAGUUAAUUGUUCUAUGGUCUUCGUAGCAAUUGGGAAAUCUAGAUACUAUGUUUUGCAGUAUAUUGCUAAUAAUUUCCGUGCUCAAGGAA
This is a long non-coding RNA of Mangifera indica (mango), 997 nucleotides long. RefSeq lists it as uncharacterized. NCBI's taxonomy places the organism in Eukaryota, Viridiplantae, Streptophyta, Magnoliopsida, Sapindales, Anacardiaceae. The transcript has 2 exons. The record is from RefSeq and is a predicted model, not a curated record.